GUGUCAGCAGCCGCGGUAAUACGGAGGGGGCGAGCGUUAUUCGGAAUUAUUGGGCGUAAAGGGCGCGUAGGCGGCUCUUUAAGUCAAAGGUGAAAUCCCUCGGCUCAACUGAGGAACUGCCUUUGAAACUGAGGAGCUUGAGUCCGGGAGGGGGUAGCGGAAUUCCCAGUGUAGCGGUGAAAUGCGUAGAUAUUGGGAGGAACACCAGUGGCGAAGGCGGCUACCUGGACCGGAACUGACGCUGAGGCGCGAAAGCGUGGGUAGCAAACAGGAUUAGAUACCCGUGUAGUCC
This 292-nucleotide ribosomal RNA is filed under the name uncultured bacterium. Its description in RNAcentral is "partial 16S ribosomal RNA". It matches the Rfam family "Bacterial small subunit ribosomal RNA", at positions 505 to 796 of the family's 1533-position model. The record is from RNAcentral.